GAUAAACGCUGGCGGCGCACAUAAGACAUGCAAGUCGAACGGACUUAACUCGAAGUUUACUUUGAGAGCGGUUAGUGGCGGACUGGUGAGUAAUACAUAAGCAACCUGCCCCUGUGAGGGGGAUAACUGCUGGAAACGGCAGCUAAGACCGCAUAGGCAUACAUGACGCACGUCGAGUAUGUUAAAUAUCCUACGGGAUAGCACAGGGAUGGGCUUAUGACGCAUUAGCUAGCUGGUGAGGUAGAGGCUCACCAGGGCGACGAUGCGUAGCCGGCCUGAGAGGGUGGACGGCCACACUGGGACUGAGACACGGCCCAG
Molecule: ribosomal RNA, 318 nt
Filed under: uncultured bacterium
Lineage: Bacteria
Description: bacterial SSU rRNA
Rfam family: Bacterial small subunit ribosomal RNA
Source: RNAcentral